ACGCACGCUGGCGGCGUGCUUCACACAUGCCAGUCGAACGGAAAGGCCCUGCUUUUGUGGGGUGCUCGAGUGGCGAACGGGUGAGUAACACGUGAGUAACCUGCCCUUGACUUUGGGAUAACUUCAGGAAACUGGGGCUAAUACCGGAUAGGAGCUCCUGCUGCAUGGUGGGGGUUGGAAAGUUUCGGCGGUUGGGGAUGGACUCGCGGCUUAUCAGCUUGUUGGUGGGGUAGUGGCUUACCAAGGCUUUGACGGGUAGCCGGCCUGAGAGGGUGACCGGCCACAUUGGGAAUGAGAUACGGCCCAGACGCCUACGGGAGGCAGCAGUGGGGAAUAGUGCACAAUGGGCGGAAGCCUGAUGCAGCAACGCCGCGUGCGGGAUGACGGCUUUCGGGUUGUAAACCGCUUUCGCCUGUGACGAAGCGUGAGGGACGGUAAUGGGUAAAGAAGCACCGGCGAACUACGU
Molecule: ribosomal RNA, 466 nt
Filed under: uncultured bacterium
Lineage: Bacteria
Description: partial 16S ribosomal RNA
Rfam family: Bacterial small subunit ribosomal RNA
Source: RNAcentral